RNAcentral lists this ribosomal RNA (467 nucleotides) under uncultured bacterium. RNAcentral's name for it is "partial 16S ribosomal RNA". It matches the Rfam family "Bacterial small subunit ribosomal RNA", at positions 29 to 507 of the family's 1533-position model. The record is from RNAcentral.
ACGAACGCUGGCGGCGUGCUUAACACAUGCAAGUCGAACGGAAAGGCCCUGCUUUUGUGGGGUGCUCGAGUGGCGAACGGGUGAGUAACACGUGAGUAACCUGCCCUUGACUUUGGGAUAACUUCAGGAAACUGGGGCUAAUACCGGAUAGGAGCUCCUGCUGCAUGGUGGGGGUUGGAAAGUUUCGGCGGUUGGGGAUGGACUCGCGGCUUAUCAGCUUGUUGGUGGGGUAGUGGCUUACCAAGGCUUUGACGGGUAGCCGGCCUGAGAGGGUGACCGGCCACAUUGGGACUGAGAUACGGCCCAGGCUCCUACGGGAGGCAGCAGUGGGGAAUAUUGCACAAUGGGCGGAAGCCUGAUGCAGCAACGCCGCGUGCGGGAUGACGGCCUUCGGGUUGUAAACCGCUUUCGCCUGUGACGAAGCGUGAGUGACGGUAAUGGGUAAAGAAGCACCGGCUAACUACGUG